Pelobates cultripes (western spadefoot toad) is the source of this 294-nucleotide non-coding RNA. NCBI's taxonomy places the organism in Eukaryota, Metazoa, Chordata, Amphibia, Anura, Pelobatidae. The record is from the annotation of a GenBank genome assembly.
GAGAUGUAUUAGGGGGUCCGUAUUGUGGGCGCUCGGUUUGGUCUGGGUUAAAUAUGAUUUGAGUUGAAGAUAUGAGAAGACCAUCCUGGGGGGUAGGUCGUGGUCUGCUUGGAUGUCCGUGAAGUGUCUGAGUUUCCCCUCUUUGUACAGCUGCCCUAUCUCUAUGAUACCCUUUUGCUUCAAUGGUUUUAUGUCUAGUGUUGGGAUCGCAGUUGCUACUGCUUCCAGUGGUGUGGCUAGGGGCACUGGGUGAUAGUUGACCAAACAGUGUUUAGAGGUGUCCCAUUGAUGUAG